GGAUCUUCAACUCGCUCAAAUCACUUCCGCUAAACCGACAGCCCAUUUUUUAUCGUCCCUCUUUUUGUUGCAGAGUUGAGGCUGUCUGCGACGACCAUCGCUUUUACUUGCGAGAGCUGUCAUGACUAUCCUUGGCCACAAGGGGACGCCACAGCACCGCAAGCAGGAGUCCACGCUUGACGUUUGUUCACUUUUCUUUUAAAUAAAACUUAUUGAAAUAGGUUUAUAAAGAA
Syngnathus typhle (broad-nosed pipefish) is the source of this 233-nucleotide long non-coding RNA. RefSeq lists it as uncharacterized. The transcript is spliced from 2 exons. The record is from RefSeq and is a predicted model, not a curated record. Lineage: Eukaryota; Metazoa; Chordata; Actinopteri; Syngnathiformes; Syngnathidae.